This 330-nucleotide long non-coding RNA is filed under the name Phoenix dactylifera (date palm). Its description in RNAcentral is "long non-coding RNA (PDAC_LNC015291)". Lineage: Eukaryota; Viridiplantae; Streptophyta; Magnoliopsida; Arecales; Arecaceae. The record is from RNAcentral.
AGGAAAAGCAAAACAAGCAUCAUAUAUUUGGCACAUUUAUGAGACUUGUGAAAGGGAUAAAAUCCAUAAUUAAUUACACUUAAACAGGGAGGGUUUGAAGUGAACAUUUUAACCUUUCUAUAUUGCUCAUCAUAGGGAUGGUGCCAAUGGGGAGGCUAGUGGUAGUACCCGGCACUAUUUGACCCAACUAUUCGGUGUAGGGUAUAUUAGGGACGGCACAAGAGGGAGGCUAGUGGUAGUACCUCGUGCCCCUUCCAACUCCACCGGAUAGGGAGCAAAUAGAGUAUAGAGCAUAAGAAAGUAAAAAUGAAUGACAAAGUAAAUGAAAGU